UACAGAGGGGGCAAGCGUUAUUCGGAAUUAUUGGGCGUAAAGGGCGCGUAGGCGGCUUGGCAAGUGGAUGGUGAAAUCCCUCGGCUUAACCGAGGAACGGCCGUCCAAACUGCUUCGCUUGAGACCGGGAGAGGUGAGUGGAAUUCCCAGUGUAGCGGUGAAAUGCGUAGAUAUUGGGAGGAACACCAGUGGCGAAGGCGGCUUCCUGGACACCAACUGACGCUGAGACGCGAAAGCGUGGGGAGCAAACAGG
Molecule: ribosomal RNA, 253 nt
Filed under: uncultured bacterium
Lineage: Bacteria
Description: partial 16S ribosomal RNA
Rfam family: Bacterial small subunit ribosomal RNA
Source: RNAcentral